GUGCCUUGGCAGUACAUAUAUCAAAUUGGAUACGAUACAGAGAGAGAAGAUUACUUUGCCAGCCCCUGCGAAAGGAUGACACGCAAAUUCGUAGAGCGUUUCCAUAUUUGG
Small nuclear RNA from Hippoglossus stenolepis (Pacific halibut), 111 nucleotides. The record is from RefSeq and is a predicted model, not a curated record. Lineage: Eukaryota; Metazoa; Chordata; Actinopteri; Pleuronectiformes; Pleuronectidae.